Molecule: ribosomal RNA, 406 nt
Filed under: uncultured bacterium
Lineage: Bacteria
Description: partial 16S ribosomal RNA
Rfam family: Bacterial small subunit ribosomal RNA
Source: RNAcentral
AUUGAACGCUGGCGGCAGGCCUAACACAUGCAAGUCGAACGAGUGGCGGACGGGUGAGUAAUGUCUGGGAAACUGCCUGAUGGAGGGGGAUAACUACUGGAAACGGUAGCUAAUACCGCAUACCAUCAGAUGUGCCCAGAUGGGAUUAGCUAGUGGGUUGGGUAACGGCUCACCAAGGCGACGAUCCCUAGCUGGUCUGAGAGAAUGACCAGCAACACUGCAACUGAGAAACGUUCCAGACUCCUACACGAGGCAGCAGUGGGGAAUAUUGCACAAUGGGCGCAAGUCUGACGCACCCAUGCCGCGUUUAUGAAGGAGGCCUUCGGGUUGUACAGUACGUUCAGCGGCGAGGCGUCACCCGCAUAAGAAGAACCUGCUACCCCCGUGCCAGCAGCCGCGGUAAUAC